Molecule: ribosomal RNA, 139 nt
Filed under: uncultured bacterium
Lineage: Bacteria
Description: partial 16S ribosomal RNA
Rfam family: Bacterial small subunit ribosomal RNA
Source: RNAcentral
UGAGGGAUAUUGGUCAAUGGGGGGAAACCCGUGAACCAGCAACGCCGCGUGAGGGAAGACGGUCUUCGGAUUGUAAACCUUUGUCCUCUGUGAAGAUAAUGACGGUAGCAGAGGAGGAAGCUCCGGCUAACUACGUGCC